Long non-coding RNA from Chroicocephalus ridibundus (black-headed gull), 5578 nucleotides. RefSeq lists it as uncharacterized. NCBI's taxonomy places the organism in Eukaryota, Metazoa, Chordata, Aves, Charadriiformes, Laridae. The record is from RefSeq and is a predicted model, not a curated record. The transcript has 3 exons.
UUCCAGAGCUGCUCUUUCAAAGGGGACAAGCAGUCCAUCGGAGAGAAAGAACUUAAAAAAAUUAUAUUAAGAACAACAAAAACCAGCCAAGCUAAUUCCACCACACAUAGUUCAGCAAAGAAAAGGAUUCAUCCUUAAAUCACUUUUCUCAUCUUUCCUUCUCAGUCUGUUCCUGUGGUAGAGCUUUUCACGCUAUUAAAAUGUCGUAUGUGGGUCUGUAUGUGUAGUUUAGAUUUCCAGCAGAGGGAACAGUUGUCUUUCUCACAUUUCUCAUGCUGAAGAAAUAUUUCUGUAAAAUAAUUUUGACUUUGGGAGAGAAGUGGAUCUCAAGAUCUGUGAAAUUCAUGCUGCCUCUUUCCAACCAAUUCGUGGCAGUAAACAAGACAGUAGGAUGGUGUGGUGGGUUUAGCACAGCUGUAAAUUCUUCAGGGAGUAUUUCUUAUAGUGUUUUAUGAAUCCCGUUCACAGAACCUGCUUUAUCAGGAAAAAACACUGGAUUGGAGCCAAAGCCUCAGUCAAACUGAUCAAGCCAAAGAAGGAGACUACAAGGGAGCGGCUGAAAGCAGCAGCAGCAGCAAGCCCUCCACGGCAUUCUGAAUCCCCGGAGACAGUAAACUCUCCAUCUGCCUCCCAAAAACUGAAACAUCGAGAAACUCAGGAUAAUACCUCUCAAGGGUCAACCUCUAUGGAAGAGUGAGACAACCCUGGGGGUUCUUCCAACAAAGUGCUAAUGGACCAAAACCAAAAAAAGGAAUUCCCGUCACGGAGGCAGCAACGAUAAUGUUGAAAUCUCAGCAGACUGCGAUAAAACGCUGCUGUGUGGAGCUGGGUCCCAGGACUUCCUCAACCUCCGCUGUUCGUCUGCACACUUCCACCCCCAUCUCCAGGCUCAGGGCAGACCAAAAGGCGUGCGGUGCAUUUGGUGUGCCAGCUGUUAGUACCAGUCAGGCUACUUCGUAGCUCCUGCUUGGGUGAAGCACGGCUUCUGGUGGCGUUCAAGAACAAAAACAGAGCACUAGUAUUUUCAUUCCUACUUUUUUCUGGUUUAAUUGAACAGAUACAGGGUUUCCUUACUCUUGUAAUGUUAUCAACUUGACAGACCACAUUUGGAUGUCAGUUCUAUUAUGGUUCCUUGCACAAUGGUUCACAGCAGUGGUUAGAAGAUGGCUGCUUCUACUCUAUAGAGAGUGUUGUCUCUAUAAAACCCUCUUGAUCACCUCAGUCUUGCAUAGUGCUAGAACGCAUUGGAGACUGACCUGAAGGAUUAGCCUUCCUGUGUUUAAUUGCCUGUUAAGUUUUGUGUUAUUUUCAGGCUAUAAUUCAGAAAAUAAUCUAUGUCAACAGUACCUUGAGGUGGAGUUUGCAAGCACCAGACAGCAUGGUUCCUUAGAUCAUAUCCAUGGUAGAACUGAGAGCCUCAGCAGCGAAGAUAUGGUGCCAAGCGGAGAGGCACCAUCCCUUUCACUCUUCUGCCUUCACCCUUCACUCUUCACCCUUCUGCCAUCCGAAGCCCUAGCAGCAGGUGUGAGUCCUCCUCCCACAGGAACAGUUUGAUCUCUUAUGAUAUACCUCAGAAGAGUACUCCAUCCCACCCUUACGCAGGCAGGCAACGGUCUGCCUAACCUGGCAGUGUGACGGUAACUUUGGAAGGGUUUUUGGAAGAGAGCAACAGGUUGCCUCCACCAAGUGUAAGUAAACAGAGCUAAGUAGCCCAUCUCAGACGUCAAAAUGUCUCUCAAUGUCAAGAUGUUCAAAGCUGAUUCAGGGGGAUGAGGGGCAUAAGGAAACAUGGAAGGAUGAGAAGAUCCUUGUUCAUACGUGUGGAACUUGCAGAGAAUCUUGCAAAAAUGAAUGAAACAGUUCCAACAACUAAGGCAAGAUUAAGUUUCACGCAGCACUCUGCUAGUUUAUUUUGGUGUAUUAGCAAGCCAGGCAGAUAAUGCACAGCAAGUACUAUGUAUUGGACUGCUAGGGCUUUUUAAUAUCAAACACUUGUGGUCGAGGUUUCGGAUUAUAUCAUCAAUUCUCAGAUCCAGGUAUUUUUAUUUGUGAACUGAUAAGUUCUCUGUGCAAUUUUCAACUGCCGAAUCUGUAAUUAGAAAUGAAACCUAACAGCAGUCUUCAAUUGAAGUGCAAAAUACGCAGUUGUUAAAACCAUCUCCUAAUCUGAAAAUACCAUCAGUGCAUUUGAGAGAGAAAAAUUUUCUUGCGGAAGGAAGUUCUCGAUGCUUUCACCGUGCUGCCUGUUCGUGUGCUGACUGGCACCGUGCUGUUGGUUCAAUAACUGCAAGAAUACGUUGCAUGCUGAAGUGCUUUGUCAGAAAUGAAAUGUUUGUUUUCUAGAUGGCAUUUGUCUUUUACUGCUCAGACAGUGCAGUAGUGAGGCAGUGCAGUAUCGAGCAUGUUAAUAUCUUAAGAACAAUUCAUUGACAGUGUAAGUGAACAGAUGUUUCUGUUUCGUGAAUGCCUUGGUAACAGUAUUGAAAUUAACAGACUUGUACCAUUAUAUGACAUCAGUAAAUUCUGGCCCUUGAAUUUUCAGAGCAAUAUUUAAAUAUACCUCCUAUUCCCUCAUAAUCCUAAAUACAAUUCUUAGCUUUCAGAAAUGUUUAAAAUUUGAUUUAUUUUUUUUUGUCUGUAACUACCUGACCAUGUCUCCAUUUUCAUUCUUUCUGUGACCCAUGUUCCUUUUCAGCGUCCGCACAGUUUAAAUGAGACUGCAAUGAUUUCAUUGCACUGAUUUCUGUUAGAAACUGAUGCACUGUAUCCCUCUUGCUACUCCUUAUGUCCUUCUCUCCAUCAGGAACCUUCACGGUCACUCAAAUCGAUUCUCAGUCAUUCAUGUCCCGAUAGCAUGAGGCACAGAACAGGCAGGGGAAAUAGAUCUACUUCACUGUAUAUCCCCAGGGUAUCUGUUGUUCUUGCUAUGAAGGCAACAGCUCCCAACUUACCACAGCUUUUGCAAGUGUAUUAAUACCUAUCAAAGUAUCCUGUAACUCUUAGCUGUUGUUUUAAAGGCUGCCAGGUCACUUGCAUUAAUUGCUCAUAAAGUAUUUCCAGUGCUUGCUCAUAAGCAUGCGUGGUUUUGGAGGACUAGUCAUUCUAUAAUGUUAAUGUGCGUAACAGCAGUUUAAAGUGAAGUUAAAAAUAACCCUAACGCUUUAACGUUUAGUUGAGCAUAGAAAUCUUUCCGCUGCGCUGUUACCAUUGAUGGUGUUCACUUCUAGAAAAUGAGUUUUGUGACUGGAAGAAAGAUUUGGAAUGCUAGUGAAAUGAAUAUAUUAAGCUUUAACAUACUCCCCAGAGAAAAAUAAAGAAAUAAAUUCCAUGAGCUUGUUACAGCAUGUUUUUCAUGAAGACAGCAUGUUCCUUAACUAUUCUGAGCAUGCCUCAUACUAGUAAGUCCAAUGGCAGCUGAUCAAACAUCACCAUUUUUGGAUUGCAUGGACCAUCCCCAGGAAAUAUUCAUUGUAUAUUUUCUUUUACUGACAGGUUAAUUGUCUGACUUGAAAUUUGCAAGUUAGUUGUGGGCAAGCAAUCGUAUUUCCGUUUGUGUAAUGAUUUUUGGUACAUUUCAUUAGAUUGUACAUGCAACUUUAGACAUAUAUAGUAUAUUGACUGGGAGAGGUGAGGAGAAUCAAUGGAGAAGCAAAGAAACUUUCUUGUAAUGCUAUCACAUCUCCCCAAGGUAUUCUCUCCUGUUAUAUCCCUGAAGUUACAGUAGAGUGUUACCCAGAUGAACUGUAUUCUGGAAGAUGACAGCCCAUCACUGAUGUUUGCUGAUACCAAUGGGACCGUGGAGGAGCCCAUGAGAGGAAGCAGCUCCAACAGCACUCCCGGGUCAUCGGGCCCCCAGGGGGAUCAGCAGGUGGUUUGGUAUGAGUAUGGGUGUGUGCAACCCACGGAUGCAGCUAGUAGUAUGUGUGUUUGGUGUUGCUGAUGUCUGGGUAGCAUUUGUCUAAACACUGUGCCAGGUCUUAAAAGGCACCGCCUGCAUGCUGCUCUGAACGUUCUCCAGGCAGUGUUUUCUAGUAGGACAAAGUAUGAUGAAGAGAAACAAGGAGCAAAACCCCAGCCCUUCUUUUGACGCUGUUGUGCCUAAAACAAAGUAGAAGCCUGACCUAAUCUCACGGCAGGCUUGGCACCUGAUUCUCACAGGUGCUGAGCAUUCCCCACUCCAGGAGAAGCCUAGCAGGGUCCUCUGUCAUCGCUGCACUAUGCACCCCUCCUACCUACAUUAAAGAAGAGUUUCACAGGUCACAUGCGCGUGCGCUGAACCCAGACCCACUAUUGAUAAGUAACCACAAUGAAAAGCCAAACUUCUCUGCCAAGGACAGAACCAGAUACUUGGCUUAAGUAGCUUAAUGAUAAAGCUGAAGAGCAAAAGUGUGUGGCUUUAGCCAUGGAGCUGUUAAAAACAAUUCUUGCCACAGCCACAUUGUAUAGAGGUAAACAUGUAGACUUCAAGGGUCACAUCUCAGCCUUCCGUGCUGGGACUGUGUAAACACAGAGAGGCCAGGGUAAUUACCCACUGCCUUCACUACAGCUGCAGCUCAGUGGAUCCUUGACUCCGCAAGCCAAGUGGUGCUGCCUUUUGAAAGUUGUUUUAUCUUCCAUACAAACACUGGAAAUAACGCAGCCUUUCAGGGGAGAUGCCAUUUCAGUUGCAAAGGUGACAUCUCACAUACAAAAGUGCCUUCUAAGUAUGCAUAUAAGAAGCUCAAGUAUUGUAUAAGAAUGCUGUGUAAAUUGUGUUAUUACAUCCUUGCGUGCAUGACAGCCCACGUCCUAAGCGAUAUGUGGGAUUUUGUCUCUUAGAAAUCCGUGUUUAUGCCUCCAAGAACUUUGCUCAGUAUAGAAAGCAAAGUAAUUUUGUAUAGAUGUGAAAGAAAUAUACUUUUUAAAAUCCAUUUAUCUGCAAAGAAUUUCCUCGUAUGUUUCUGUCCAGAGUGCCAUCGUCUACUUAUAUAUAUAUGACCAAAUGCGUAUCUUUAAUUCUAUUACAUGUUCGUAAAGCUGUUUUUCUUGCAAUAGACUAAAUCCUUAAAAACGUACUUGUUUUGCUGGUUCUGAUUUAAUCUAGUAAAAGUUAAAACCGAUUCAACUGAGGAUGUUUUUGUUACCUAGUAUGUAGUAAUCCCAUUCUGGAAACUACAAAGCUGCUUAUAAAAAAAAAAAGACUGAAACAAAAUACAUGGAGAGAAAUUAUUCAUCUUUCAUCAUGGGGAGAAUGGCAAAAGGAACUUUCUGCCUUCUCUGCAAUUUUAAUUGAGAACCAUAGUUGUGCAACAAUUUUAAAAUUAUGUGGCAUACAGUAAUUUUAGAACAUACUGAGUGGUUUUGCUAAAUGGAAAUUCUCCCAGAAAUUCCCUCUCAAUAUGGAUUCUUGGCCAGAUCACUGAAGACUGGUGUGUCUCCCUUGUUUCAUCUCCUUUUUGGAGGCAUGUGCUCGAUUGCCCUGCAGGCUGGACUGCUGAGGAAUGGACCUGUGAGUCAUCAGUUACUCUACAUCUGCUUUUGCUAUAAAUACCUGCCCAGUCACUUACAUCUUAUUUGUUGUUUUCCGAGUUAUUUACAA